UACGGAGGGGGGCUAGCGUUGUUCGGAAUUACUGGGCGUAAAGCGCACGUAGGCGGCUUUGUAAGUUUAGAGGUGAAAGCCCAGGGCUCAACCCUGGAAUUGCCUUUAAGACUGCAUCGCUAGAAUUUGUGGAGAGGUAAGUGGAAUUCCGAGUGUAGAGGUGAAAUUCGUAGAUAUUCGGAAGAACACCAGUGGCGAAGGCGACUUACUGGACACAUAUUGACGCUGAGGUGCGAAAGCGUGGGGAGCAAACAGG
This 256-nucleotide ribosomal RNA is filed under the name uncultured bacterium. RNAcentral's name for it is "partial 16S ribosomal RNA". It matches the Rfam family "Bacterial small subunit ribosomal RNA", at positions 524 to 776 of the family's 1533-position model. The record is from RNAcentral.